Acinonyx jubatus (cheetah) is the source of this 74-nucleotide non-coding RNA. NCBI's taxonomy places the organism in Eukaryota, Metazoa, Chordata, Mammalia, Carnivora, Felidae. The record is from the annotation of a RefSeq genome assembly.
GCCUGGGUGGCUCAGUCGGUUGAGCGUCCGACUCCAGAUCUGGUGGUUUGCGGGUUCGAGCCCCGCGUCAGGCU